This 686-nucleotide ribosomal RNA is filed under the name Bacillus licheniformis. RNAcentral's name for it is "bacterial SSU rRNA". It matches the Rfam family "Bacterial small subunit ribosomal RNA", at positions 66 to 736 of the family's 1533-position model. Lineage: Bacteria; Bacillati; Bacillota; Bacilli; Caryophanales; Bacillaceae. The record is from RNAcentral.
GCGGACCGACGGGAGCUUGCUCCCUUAGGUCAGCGGCGGACGGGUGAGUAACACGUGGGUAACCUGCCUGUAAGACUGGGAUAACUCCGGGAAACCGGGGCUAAUACCGGAUGCUUGAUUGAACGCAUGGUUCAAUCAUAAAAGGUGGCUUUUAGCUACCACUUACAGAUGGACCCGCGGCGCAUUAGCUAGUUGGUGAGGUAACGGCUCACCAAGCGACGAUGCGUAGCCGACCUGAGAGGGUGAUCGGCCACACUGGGACUGAAACACGGCCCAGACUCCUACUUUAGGCAGCAGUAGGGAAUCUUCCGCAAUGGACGAAAGUCUGACGGAGCAACGCCGCGUGAGUGAUGAAGGUUUUCGGAUCGUAAAACUCUGUUGUUAGGGAAGAACAAGUACCGUUCGAAUAGGGCGGUACCUUGACGGUACCUAACCAGAAAGCCACGGCUAACUACGUGCCAGCAGCCGCGGUAAUACGUAGGUGGCAAGCGUUGUCCGGAAUUAUUGGGCGUAAAGCACGCGCAGGCGGUUUCUAAGUCUGAUGUGAAAGCCCCCGGCUCAACCAAGGAGGGUCAUUGGAAACUGGGGAACUUGAGUGCAGAAGAGGAGAGUGGAAUUCCACGUGUAGCGGUGAAAUGCGUAGAGAUGUGGAGGAACACCAGUGGCGAAGGCGACUCUCUGGUCUG